This 253-nucleotide ribosomal RNA is filed under the name uncultured bacterium. RNAcentral describes it as "partial 16S ribosomal RNA". It matches the Rfam family "Bacterial small subunit ribosomal RNA", at positions 524 to 776 of the family's 1533-position model. The record is from RNAcentral.
UACGUAGGCAGCAAGCGUUGUUCGGAAUUACUGGGCGUAAAGAGUGUGUAAGCGGUGUUCUAAGUUUGUCGUGAAAUCUCCCGGCUUAACUGGGAGGGUGCGGCGAAAACUGGAAUGCUAGAGGAUGGGAGAGGUAAGCGGAAUUCCUGGUGUAGCGGUGAAAUGCGUAGAUAUCAGGAGGAACACCUGUGGUGUAGACAGCUUACUGGACCAUUUCUGACGCUGAGACACGAAAGCGUGGGUAGCAAACAGG